RNAcentral lists this ribosomal RNA (520 nucleotides) under Porphyromonas sp. oral taxon B47. RNAcentral describes it as "bacterial SSU rRNA". It matches the Rfam family "Bacterial small subunit ribosomal RNA", at positions 378 to 897 of the family's 1533-position model. Lineage: Bacteria; Pseudomonadati; Bacteroidota; Bacteroidia; Bacteroidales; Porphyromonadaceae. The record is from RNAcentral.
AGAGCCUGAACCAGCCAAGUCGCGUGAAGGAAGACAGUCCUAAGGAUUGUAAACUUCUUUUAUACGGGAAUAACGGGCGAUACGAGUAUUGCAUUGAAUGUACCGUAAGAAUAAGCAUCGGCUAACUCCGUGCCAGCAGCCGCGGUAAUACGGAGGAUGCGAGCGUUAUCCGGAUUUAUUGGGUUUAAAGGGUGCGUAGGUUGUUCGGUAAGUCAGCGGUGAAACCUGAGCGCUCAACGUUCAGCCUGCCGUUGAAACUGCCGGGCUUGAGUUCAGUGGCGGCAGGCGGAAUUCGUGGUGUAGCGGUGAAAUGCAUAGAUAUCACGAGGAACUCCGAUUGCGAAGGCAGCUUGCCAUACUGCGACUGACACUGAAGCACGAAGGCGUGGGUAUCAAACAGGAUUAGAUACCCUGGUAGUCCACGCAGUAAACGAUGAUUACUAGGAGUUUGCGAUAUACCGUCAAGCUUCCACAGCGAAGCGUUAAGUAAUCCACCUGGGGAGUACGCCGGCAACGGUGA